UUAUAAAAAUAUAUUUCAAAAAUUAUAGCGUAACCUUCAAAUACCCCAUGUAUUUUCACACAUUUUCAUUUUAAUAGUCUGUGGUUUAAAGUGUAUCAAGUUAGUCCUUAUAGUUUCGCACAUCUUAUUUAAUAUCCUGUGAUUUAAAGUGUAUCAAAUUAGUACCAUGUAAUUUCAUUUUUCUCUUUUUAUUAUCUAUUUUACUAAUUUUUUUCAUUAAAUCAGGAACAAAGUUAAUAUUAAAAGGUACUAAAGUAAAUAUUCGAUAAACGUAGAUAGGGUAUUUGAAGUUUUUUAUAUAUAAUUUAAUGAAAUAUUAAUGAAGGAAAAAAAAAUUAGUGACAAAGUUAAAACUAAAGGAUGCUAAAGUAAAUAUUCGAUAAAUCUAGGUAGGGUACUGAAGUUUUUUGUAUAUAAUUUAACGAAAUAUUAAUAGAGGAGCGGACGAAAAAAAAAAAAUAAAACCACAGGGUACUAAAUUGAUGUACUUUAAACUACAGGAUACUAAAGUGAGAAAGUGCGAAACCACAGGAUACUAAAUUGAUAUACUUUAAACCACAGGGUAUUAAAGUGAAAAAGUGUGAAACCACAAUGAUAGUAUUUGAAGUUUUCCCAAAAUUGUAAGGUAAACUUCAAAUACUAUCUCUAUAGUUUCUCAUUUUCUCACUUUGGUAUCCUGUAGUUUAGAGCGUAUCAAUUUAAUAUCUUGUGAUUGCAUUUUUCUUUUUUCGUCAGUCUUCCGUUAACAUUUUAUUAAAUUAUAUAAAAAAAAACUUCAGAUACUCCACCUAAGUUUAUCGAAUAUUCACUUUAAUACUUUUUAGUUUUAACUCUGUCGCUGAUUUAAUGAAAAGAAUCAGUGAAGGGGAUAAUAAAAAGAGAAAAAUGAAACCACGGAGUACUAAAUUGAUACGCUUUAAAUCACGGAAUACUGAAAUAAAAAAAUGCGAAACCACAGGAGUGAUAUUUAAAGUUUUUCAAAAAUUAUAACAUACUUUUUUGUGCUGCAACUUA
This 1014-nucleotide long non-coding RNA is filed under the name Ananas comosus (pineapple). Its description in RNAcentral is "long non-coding RNA (ACOM_LNC029877)". The record is from RNAcentral. Lineage: Eukaryota; Viridiplantae; Streptophyta; Magnoliopsida; Poales; Bromeliaceae.